ACAAUAACCGAAGAGAGCCCCUCCGUGUUUGCCUGUGAAUGACUGGAGAGGUCCAGUCCACGAGACCCAACCUAAUGGAUGUCCUGUUGCGAGAAGCAGAAGAGGUGCUGAGCUCCCCAAGGGAACCCAGGUCCUGCAACAGAACCAGAGGACUGCUCAUCAGAUGGGUCAGGAGGAUGUCCCUUGCUCACGUCUGAGCCUGCCCACAAGUUCCAACCUUAGGAAGAAUUGUGAGCACUCCAGCUGGUCGCCUUGUUUUUCAAGACUGGACCUCUCCAUUGGAGCUCACACCAUUAAGCUCAGCUGACUAACCAGUCAGCCUCAGGGAUCUGCUGUCUUCACCUCCCCCCAACUACUGCUGGAGUCAGAAGCACACAACACCAUGUCCGGCUUUUUGUGUGGGUUCUGGGGAUCAAAUUCAGGUCCUCACGAUUAAUAAAAACUCAGGAUCAGAAAUUGGGACUCAACCUUAAGAUCUGAAAAGCAAAACAGCCAGCCACUGGCUCUU
Long non-coding RNA from Alexandromys fortis (reed vole), 508 nucleotides. RefSeq lists it as uncharacterized. The transcript is spliced from 3 exons. The record is from RefSeq and is a predicted model, not a curated record. NCBI's taxonomy places the organism in Eukaryota, Metazoa, Chordata, Mammalia, Rodentia, Cricetidae.